This 75-nucleotide transfer RNA is filed under the name Chlorobiales bacterium. RNAcentral's name for it is "tRNA-Glu". It matches the Rfam family "tRNA". Rfam says of the family: Transfer RNA (tRNA) molecules are approximately 80 nucleotides in length. Lineage: Bacteria; Pseudomonadati; Chlorobiota; Chlorobiia; Chlorobiales. The record is from RNAcentral.
GGCCCUAUCGACUAGUGGUUAGGUCACCACCCUUUCAAGGUGGUCGGACGGGUUCGAAUCCCGUUAGGGUCACCA